GGGGUCGCUUGGUUUUGACAGCGGGUAGAAGAGGUAUGUAAGCAUGUCGAGCGCUGGGAUGUCGGCUCGUAAAUCUCGAUUCUCAAAAUUGUAACUGGCGAAAAUAACUACGCUCUUGCUGCUUAAUCGAAGUAUAGUAGAUUCUAGCUUUAUCCCGGCCAUAGUGUCGGGACGAGACAUCUCCCAAAUGCCGUGGUCUCGAGGCUCUUUGAUCAGGAGGUGCAGCUAAAUCGGGAAUAGUCGAACAUAGCCUCGUGCGUUCGAUGAGAUUCAGAGGAUAAGGUAACGGUUGGUGGCUUCGGUCUUGCCGGUACUCGAAAAAUGAAGGCGAAGAUAAACAUGUAGAAAGCGUAUUGCUUCCUCGUUUGGACGCGGGUUCGACUCCCGCCGGCUCCACAA
Molecule: non-coding RNA, 399 nt
Organism: Paludibacter jiangxiensis
Lineage: Bacteria; Pseudomonadati; Bacteroidota; Bacteroidia; Bacteroidales; Paludibacteraceae
Rfam family: transfer-messenger RNA
About the family: Bacterial tmRNA, also known as 10Sa RNA or SsrA, is named for its dual tRNA and mRNA-like properties. Its role is to liberate the mRNA from a stalled ribosome. To accomplish this part of the tmRNA is used as a reading frame that ends in a translation stop signal.
Source: Rfam